ACCAUUCAUUUAUUAAAGACCGCGGGGCCAUGAAGAGAGAAUAUGAAGAAUUCAAAGUUAGGGUAAAUGGCCUUGUUGCUAAGGCACAGAAAGUUCCCGAGGAAGGAUGGAUCAUGCAAGAUGGCACACCAUGGCUAGGAAACAAUACCAGGGACCAUCCUAGAAUGAUUCAGGUUUUCCUUGGUCACAAUGGUGGCCUUGAUACUGAGGGCAAUGAGUUACCCCGUUUGGUCUAUGUUUCUC
This is a long non-coding RNA of Zea mays, 243 nucleotides long. RefSeq lists it as uncharacterized. Lineage: Eukaryota; Viridiplantae; Streptophyta; Magnoliopsida; Poales; Poaceae. The record is from RefSeq and is a predicted model, not a curated record. The transcript has 3 exons.